RNAcentral lists this ribosomal RNA (415 nucleotides) under uncultured microorganism. Its description in RNAcentral is "bacterial SSU rRNA". It matches the Rfam family "Bacterial small subunit ribosomal RNA", at positions 9 to 420 of the family's 1533-position model. The record is from RNAcentral.
GAGUUUGAUCAUGGCUCAGAUUGAACGCUGGCGGCAUGCCUUACACAUGCAAGUCGAACGGCAGCAUGAUCUAGCUUGCUAGAUUGAUGGCGAGUGGCGAACGGGUGAGUAAUACAUCGGAACGUGCCCUGUAGUGGGGGAUAACUAGUCGAAAGAUUAGCUAAUACCGCAUACGACCUGAGGGUGAAAGUGGGGGACCGCAAGGCCUCAUGCUAUAGGAGCGGCCGAUGUCUGAUUAGCUAGUUGGUGGGGUAAAGGCCCACCAAGGCGACGAUCAGUAGCUGGUCUGAGUGGACGAUCAGCCACACUGGGACUGAGACACGGCCCAGACUCCUACGGGAGGCAGCAGUGGGGAAUUUUGGACAAUGGGCGAAAGCCUGAUCCAGCAAUGCCGCGUGUGUGAAGAAGGCCUCGG